RNAcentral lists this ribosomal RNA (114 nucleotides) under uncultured bacterium. RNAcentral describes it as "partial 16S ribosomal RNA". It matches the Rfam family "Bacterial small subunit ribosomal RNA", at positions 1388 to 1501 of the family's 1533-position model. The record is from RNAcentral.
CACCGCCCGUCACACCAUGGGAGUCAAUUGCUCCAGAAGUCGCCGUGCCAACCGCAAGGAAGCAGGCGCCCAAGGAGUGAUUGGUAACUGGGGUGAAGUCGUAACAAGGUACCC